GCGGGAGUAACUCAGUGGUAGAGUUCCUGCCUUCCAAGCAGGUUGUCGCGGGUUCGAGCCCCGUCUCCCGCUCCA
This 75-nucleotide transfer RNA is filed under the name Chloroflexota bacterium. Its description in RNAcentral is "tRNA-Gly". It matches the Rfam family "tRNA". From Rfam's summary of the family: Transfer RNA (tRNA) molecules are approximately 80 nucleotides in length. Their secondary structure includes four short double-helical elements and three loops (D, anti-codon, and T loops). Further hydrogen bonds mediate the characteristic L-shaped molecular structure. tRNAs have two regions of fundamental functional importance: the anti-codon, which is responsible for specific mRNA codon recognition, and the 3' end, to which the tRNAs corresponding amino acid is attached (by aminoacyl-tRNA synthetases). tRNAs cope with the degeneracy of the genetic code in two manners: having more than one tRNA (with a specific anti-codon) for a particular amino acid; and 'wobble' base-pairing, i.e. permitting non-standard base-pairing at the 3rd anti-codon position. Lineage: Bacteria; Bacillati; Chloroflexota. The record is from RNAcentral. RNAcentral also lists the same sequence under 2 other names.